RNA transcript from Aedes albopictus (Asian tiger mosquito), 4895 nucleotides. It is a transcript of the gene named exportin-7, with no coding region annotated. The transcript is spliced from 12 exons. NCBI's taxonomy places the organism in Eukaryota, Metazoa, Arthropoda, Insecta, Diptera, Culicidae. The record is from RefSeq and is a predicted model, not a curated record.
CCGCCGUCGGCGAAAGAUGAAGCUCCCGAGUGAAAACAGCCGCAGAAAAGAAAAGAAGAACGAAAUUUAAUGCGUGCGCGGUCGUCGAUCGCGUUCGAUUUAUCGAAAAAAUCAGGAUUUUAGCCAUCGAAACCGGGAAAAAAGUGUCCAGAAGUGAACCGCGGGAAGUGCUUGCGUUGGUGGGUGUGAAAUUUUCGCGAUUUGAUAGGUGGUUUACCAAGGAAAUCGUCGGUUUUUAGUGACGCGUUUUGUCCCAGCUAGGGUCUAGCAGUGAACUGCGAAAGUGGACAUCGAGGAGCUUCUCCGUGUUAAUUCGUGUUUAAUCUGAGUUAUGCUGUGAGGAAAACGCCGGCGACCCGGUCGGUUAGAUUGCGCGGGGGUUCCAGGGUGUUUCGGCAGAACGGUCACGUUGUUUGAUAGGCUUUUGUUUCUUUGAUAGCGAGUUUUUGUUUUUAUUUUUUUCUGAGUAGCGCUUUGCCGCUAGUGGGAAAAUGGACGUACAACAAUUGGAACUGCUGUGCAAGCAGUUUUACGAAUCACAGGAUGCCCAAGCGCGAGCCGAAGCCGAGAAGGCGCUCUACCUGUUCCAGGAGGAUCCGGAUGCGUUGCCAAAAUGUCAACAACUACUGGACCGGAGCAAUUCGUCCUAUUCUCAGUUGUUGGCCGCUACCACGCUGACCAAGCUGGUUUCGAAGAACAUUCAGGCGCUGAGUCUGCAGCAGCGGGUAGACAUCCGGAACUACAUUCUGAACUAUUUGGCCACUCAUCCGAAUCUGCAGCCGUUUGUGAUCCAGGCCCUGAUUGCGCUACUGGUGAAGAUCACAAAACUGUGCUGGGUGGAUUUAUACGAAGAUGAGUACAUCUUCCGGAACAUUGUCCAGGACGUGAAAGAAUUCCUGGGAGGAUCCGUAGAACACUGUAUGAUUGGGGUACAAAUUCUGUCCCAGCUGACGGUGGAAAUGAACCAGCUGGCGGAGACGGCCUGCAAUUUGACCUUCACCAAACACCGGAAGAUUGCCUGCCUGUACAGGGACUCCCAGCUGUACGAUAUCUUCAUUUUGUCCUGCACGUUGCUCAGCCAGGCCAAGGACAAUUGCUGCCAGAAGCCGAACUAUUUGGAUGAAGCCCAACACGGACUGUUCACGCAUUUGCUCAAUCUGGCCCGAAACUGUCUCAGUUUCGAUUUUGUCGGAACUUCUGCAGACGAAUCCGCCGACGACAUGUCCACGGUACACAUCCCCACCAACUGGCGUCCUGCCUUUCUUGAGUCCGAUUCCGUGAAGCUGUUCUUCGAUCUGUAUCAUGUCCUCCCGGCACGACUCUCCUGCCUCGCUCUGUCCUGCCUGGUUCAAAUCACCUCCAUUCGGCGGUCCAUCUUCAACAACACCGAGCGCAUCAAAUUCCUGGCCAAACUUGUGAAAGGCGCCACGGACAUCCUAAAAACGUCCCACGGCCUCAGCGAUCCGGAAAAUUAUCACGAGUUCUGCCGCCUCCUAGCGCGCCUCAAAUCCAACUUCCAGCUUGGCGAGCUGGUUACCGUCGAAAACUACGCCGAAGCCAUCCAGCUGAUCGCCAAAUUCACCGUUCAAUCGCUUCAAAUGUGGCAAUUUGCACCCAACAGCAUCCACUACCUUUUGUCCCUGUGGCAGCGCCUGAUCGCUUCCCUCCCGUACGUCAAAUCCUCCGAACCGCACUACCUGGACACCUACACCCCGGAAGUCACGAAGGCCUACGUCACCUCGAAGCUGGAAUCGGUCCCCGUAAUCCUCCGGGAAUCCCUCGAGGACCCUCUAGACGACACCGGCAUGGUCCAGCAGCAGCUCGAGCAAUUCUCCACCAUCGGUCGCUGUGAGUACGAAAAGACCUGCGCCCUCCUCAUUCAACUGUUCGACCAAACGGCUGGCCGCUACCAGGAAAUCCUGUCCUGCCCUCCGACCACCGCCAACCAUCUGGACGUCCGGAUCUGUGAGGGUCAGCUGACCUGGCUGGUGUACAUCAUCGGGGCGGCCAUUAGCGGACGGAUCUCCUACUCCCACGACGAUCAUGACCUUCUCGACGGGGACAUGAUCAUCCGGGUACUCCAGCUGAUGACGAUCACCGACUCGCGCCUCCCCCAAUGUGGCUGCGAAAAGCUAGAGUUUGCCAUCAUGUGCUUCCUGGAGCAAGUCCGCAAGGUGUACAUCAACGAGCACCUGCAGAAGCUGAAAAUGUUCAAACGGCUGAGCGAGGUCCUUGGGGUCAACGAUGAGACCACGCUCCUGACGGUGAUCAGCAGGAAGAUUAUUACCAAUCUGAAGUACUUUGGCCACUCGGAGCAGAUCAUACGGAAAACGCUGACGCUGCUGAACGAUUUGACGCUGACGUUCAGCUCGAUUCGGCGGCUGAUCAAGCUGGACGAGAUACAGUUUAUGCUGAACAAUCACACGCGGGAGCACUUCUCGUUCCUCGGAACCGGUGCCGUCAGCGCGUCCCGUUGCCGCAGCAUGUUCUACACCUGCCUCGGCCGGUUGCUGAUGGUGGAUCUGUCGGAGGACGUCGAACGUUUCAACACCUUCAUGAUGCCGCUGACGAACACGAUCGAAAACAUGGUCAUGAUGAGUUUUCCCAGCGAGGAAGCCCGAAAGGAGCUGAUUGGGCUGUCGCGGGAUCUGCGCGGUCUGACGCAUGCGUUCAACUCCAAGAACCCGUACAUGAUGCUGUUCGAUUGGAUAUAUCCGGACUAUUCGCCGAUUCUGAUCCGGGCGGUGGAGCUGUGGGCGCACGAUCCGGCCGUAACGACCCCGGUGUUGAAACUGUUCGCCGAGCUGGUGUACAAUCGGUCGCAGCGGUUGCAGUUUGACGUUUCUAGUCCCAAUGGAAUUUUGCUGUUCAGGGAAACUUCCAAACUGAUUUGCUGCUACGGCGAGCGAAUCCUAUCGCUGGACGUCCCGAAGGAGCAGAUCUACCCGAUGAAGCUGAAGGGCUAUGCCGUGUGUUUUCAGAUGUUGAAGGCCAUCCUCAGCGGGAACUACGUCAACUUUGGAGUGUUCAAGCUGUACGGUGACGAUGCGUUGGACAACGUGCUAAAUAUGACCGCCAAGCUGAUACUGUCGAUCUCCCACGAUGAUAUACUGGUUUACCCUAAACUAUCUCAAGCAUACUACAUACUGAUUGAGUGUCUAGCUCAGGAUCACAUCACAUACCUGUCCACCUUGGAACCACCCGUAUUUCUAUACAUUCUAGAGAGUAUAUCGAAGGGUCUGAACGCUUUAGAUGUUUUGGUGGGCUCUGGUUGCUGUUCGACGUUAGACUAUAUCGUGACGUACAUUUUCAAACAGUUGCAGCUGAAAGAGAAACACAUGCUACUGGUAACGACAUUCCCGAACAAGAAGCUCCGGCAGAGCGUCCUGCCGGAAAAUAACGUGUUCCUGAAGGUGAUGGAACUGCACCCGGAGAUCCUGCAGAACCUGCUGUCCACCCUGCUGAACAUCGUCAUGUACGACGACUGCAAGAACCAGUGGUCCAUGUCGAGACCGCUGCUGGUGCUGAUACUGCUGUACGAGGACUACUUCAGGCAACUCCGGGAAAACAUCGUCCACUCGCAACCUAUCGAGAAACAACAGUCGAUGGCAUGUCUCUUCGACAACCUUAUGGACGGCAUUGAACGAAACCUACACAUCCGGAAUCGAGACCGAUUCACGCAAAACCUGUCAGCGUUCCGCCGGGACCUGAACGAUUCCCUCAAGUCGGCCAACAGCCUGGCGAAUAGCUCGUCGCUAAACGAAAUGCCCAUUGUUUACUAUUGAUAAAAUUUGGUGAAAAUAAGCUUUUGCUGUGUACUUGAAAGAAACAAAAUCUAUUCCACGAUGGGAAUCGAACCGGGACAGCUGUCAGUUCUUACUGAUCGGAAAACGCUUGACUAAAGUAAAACUCCUUUUUCGAGACGCGAAUUGUCACUACUACGGAUACAAACUAGUAUAUAUACUACUACCUACUAUCACACAGUUCAUUCGUACUUCUUGACGUUCGUUUUAUGUUGAACCACUGAGAAAGUUUAUGUUCCCAAGCAUCUUUUUUCACGUAAUCCUUCGUGCGAAGACUGCGUUUACCCUUACAAACAAUCGCAACCAUUGUGUCAUUCUUUUCUUCUUUUGUUUCUAGCUGCUAGGUAAAUUCUUUUCCUAAACAGAAAACCCGAUUAGAUUAUUGCGCGAAAUUGAGAGAGAAUGUUGUCGUAGAAACCCGGGAGAGAGAUGAUGGGAUGUGGAUUGUGAAUGGCGAAUGGACGACGGAGCUUUUUGCUCCAAUAAUUUUACUAUAAAUCGUAAGCGACAUAAGCGGACGCACUGGAUGGAGGCCGAAGCUUAGCGAAAGUCAGCAUUAGGGAUUUCUUUUCUUUUGAAGGGAAAAUCAUUGUUACAAAAAACCAGAAAAAAUGUUUAUACAAAUGAAGUUUAAUAAAGAUACAAAUGAAGAAAACAGUCCGUAAAAUAGCACGUAAGACACACGUAAGCAAAGCAACAAAAUAUUUGAUGUAAAAUCACAAACUGGGGACUCCCCAGUGGGGAGGUGAGCACAUGUUAAGUCGCUGAAUUUAAAGCCGAUGAACAGUGUUCCCUUGGGCAGUUGAUUUAAGUAGGCAGUACAUAUAUAUUGCGAAUUUCGUGAAUCGAACCAAUAAUGUUGUAGUACGGGGUAUUUGUAUUGCAAAAUGGACUUUUGUGUGGGCGUUAGUAAAAAAAAAUCUAGUAAACAAUGAGAGCAGGAAAAUGGGAGGAAGAACGUAGUUUUAAGAAAUUGCUGUUGCUAAACCGCGCGUUCAGUGAAAACAAAGCAGGAAUCCAUUUAAGCAGAUUUGUCGGAAGAAAAACAAAAAGGUAAAAAUAAAACAAAGCCGAUAUUAGAUUUUUUACGAA